UUGUCUCAAAGAUUAAGCCAUGCAUGUCUAAGUAUAAGCAACUUGUACUGUGAAACUGCGAAUGGCUCAUUAAAUCAGUUAUCGUUUAUUUGAUAGUACCUUACUACAUGGAUACCUGUGGUAAUUCUAGAGCUAAUACAUGCUAAAAACCCCGACUUCAGGAAGGGGUGUAUUUAUUAGAUAAAAAACCAACGCCCUUCGGGGCUCCUUGGUGAAUCAUAAUAACUUAACGAAUCGCAUGGCCUUGCGCCGGCGAUGGUUCAUUCAAAUUUCUGCCCUAUCAACUUUCAAUGGUAGGAUAGUGGCCUACCAUGGUGGCAACGGGUAACGGGGAAUUAGGGUUCGAUUCCGGAGAGGGAGCCUGAGAAACGGCUACCACAUCCAAGGAAGGCAGCAGGCGCGCAAAUUACCCAAUCCCGACACGGGGAGGUAGUGACAAUAAAUACUGAUACAGGGCUCUUUUGGGUCUUGUAAUCGGAAUGAGUACAAUUUAAAUCCCUUAACGAGGAACAAUUGGAGG
This 520-nucleotide ribosomal RNA is filed under the name uncultured fungus. RNAcentral's name for it is "SSU rRNA". It matches the Rfam family "Eukaryotic small subunit ribosomal RNA", at positions 32 to 554 of the family's 1831-position model. Lineage: Eukaryota; Fungi. The record is from RNAcentral.